UAGGGAAUCUUCCACAAUGGACGCAAGUCUGAUGGAGCAACGCCGCGUGAGUGAAGAAGGUUUUCGGACCGUAAAGCUCUGUUGUUGGUGAAGAAGGAUAGAGGUAGUAACUGGCCUUUAUUUGACGGUAAUCAACCAGAAAGUCACGGCUAACUACGUGCCAGCAGCCGCGGUAAUACGUAGGUGGCAAGCGUUGUCCGGAUUUAUUGGGCGUAAAGCGAGCGCAGGCGGAAGAAUAAGUCUGAUGUGAAAGCCCUCGGCUUAACCGAGGAAUUGCAUCGGAAACUGUUUUCUUGAGUGCAGAAGAGGAGAGUAGAACUCCAUGUGUAGCGGUGGAAUGCGUAGAUAUAUGGAAGAAUACCAGUGGCGAAGGCGGCUCUCUGGUCUGCAACUGACGCUGAGGCUCGAAAGCAUGGGUAGCGAACAGGAUUAGAUACCCUGGUAGUCCAUGCCGUAAACGAUGAGUGCUAAGUGUUGGGAGGCUUCCGCCUCUCAGUGCUGCAGCUAACGCAUUAAGCACUCCGCCUGGGGGAGUACGACCG
This 542-nucleotide ribosomal RNA is filed under the name uncultured bacterium. RNAcentral's name for it is "partial 16S ribosomal RNA". It matches the Rfam family "Bacterial small subunit ribosomal RNA", at positions 355 to 888 of the family's 1533-position model. The record is from RNAcentral.